RNAcentral lists this ribosomal RNA (497 nucleotides) under uncultured bacterium. RNAcentral describes it as "partial 16S ribosomal RNA". It matches the Rfam family "Bacterial small subunit ribosomal RNA", at positions 28 to 507 of the family's 1533-position model. The record is from RNAcentral.
GAUGAACGCUGGCGGCGUGCCUAAUACAUGCAAGUCGAGCGAACAGACGAGGAGCUUGCUCCUCUGACGUUAGCGGCGGACGGGUGAGUAACACGUGGAUAACCUACCUAUAAGACUGGGAUAACUUCGGGAAACCGGAGCUAAUACCGGAUAAUAUAUUGAACCGCAUGGUUCAAUAGUGAAAGACGGUUUUGCUGUCACUUAUAGAUGGAUCCGCGCCGCAUUAGCUAGUUGGUAAGGUAACGGCUUACCAAGGCAACGAUGCGUAGCCGACCUGAGAGGGUGAUAGGCAACACUGGAACUGAGACACGGGCCAGACUCCUAAGGGAGGCAGCAGUAGGGAAUCUUCCGCAAUGGGCGAAAGCAUGACGGAGCAACGCCGCGUGAGUGAUGAAGGUCUUCGGAUCGUAAAAAUCUGUUAUUAGGGAAGAACAAAUGUGUAAGUAACUAUGCACGUCUUGACGGUACCUAAUCAGAAAGCCACGGCUAACUACGUG